CAGUCGACGAUGAAGCAACUAGCUUGCUAGUUGUGGAUUAGUGGCGCACGGGUGAGUAAGGUAUAGUUAAUCUGCCCUACACAAGAGGACAACAGUUGGAAACGACUGCUAAUACUCUAUACUCCUAUUUAACAUAAGUUGAGUAGGGAAAGUUUUUCGGUGUAGGAUGRGACUAUAUAGUAUCAGCUAGUUGGUGAGGUAAUGGCUCACCAAGGCUAUGACGCUUAACUGGUCUGAGAGGAUGAUCAGUCACACUGGAACUGAGACACGGUCCAGACUCCUACGGGAGGCAGCAGUAGGGAAUAUUGCGCAAUGGGGGAAACCCUGACGCAGCAACGCCGCGUGGAGGAUGACACUUUUCGGAGCGUAAACUCCUUUUCUUAGGGAAGAAUUCUGACGGUACCUAAGGAAUAAGCACCGGCUAACUCCGUGCCAGCAGCCGCGGUAAUACGGAGGGUGCAAGCGUUACUCGGAAUCACUGGGCGUAAAGGGCGCGUAGGCGGAUUAUCAAGUCUCUUGUGAAAUCUAAUGGCUCAACCAUUAAACUGCUUGGGAAACUGAUAAUCUAGAGUGAGGGAGAGGCAGAUGGAAUUGGUGGUGUAGGGGUAAAAUCCGUAGAUAUCACCAAGAAUACCCAUUGCGAAGGCGAUCUGCUGGAACUUAACUGACGCUAAGGCGCGAAAGCGUGGGGAGCAAACAGGAUUAGAUACCCUGGUAGUCCACGCCCUAAACGAUGUACACUAGUUGUUGGGAUGCUAGUCAUCUCAGUAAUGCAGCUAACGCAUUAAGUGUACCGCCUGGGGAGUACGGUCGCAAGAUUAAAACUCAAAGGAAUAGACGGGGACCCGCACAAGCGGUGGAGCAUGUGGUUUAAUUCGAAGAUACGCGAAGAACCUUACCUGGGCUUGAUAUCCUAAGAACCUUAUAGAGAUAUGAGGGUGCUAGCUUGCUAGAACUUAGAGACAGGUGCUGCACGGCUGUCGUCAGCUCGUGUCGUGAGAUGUUGGGUUAAGUCCCGCAACGAGCGCAACCCACGUAUUUAGUUGCUAACGGUUAGGCCGAGCACUCUAAAUAGACUGCCUUCGUAAGGAGGAGGAAGGUGUGGACGACGUCAAGUCAUCAUGGCCCUUAUGCCCAGGGCGACACACGUGCUACAAUGGCAUAUACAAUGAGACGCAAUAUCGCAAGGUGGAGCAAAUCUAUAAAAUAUGUCCCAGUUCGGAUUGUUCUCUGCAACUCGAGAGCAUGAAGCCGGAAUCGCUAGUAAUCGUAGAUCAGC
This 1279-nucleotide ribosomal RNA is filed under the name Campylobacter insulaenigrae. RNAcentral describes it as "bacterial SSU rRNA". It matches the Rfam family "Bacterial small subunit ribosomal RNA", at positions 59 to 1353 of the family's 1533-position model. Lineage: Bacteria; Pseudomonadati; Campylobacterota; Epsilonproteobacteria; Campylobacterales; Campylobacteraceae. The record is from RNAcentral.